CCUACGGGAGGCAGCAGUGAGGAAUAUUGGUCAAUGGGCGCGAGCCUGAACCAGCCAAGUCGCGUGAGGGAAGACGGCCCUACGGGUUGUAAACCUCUUUUGCCGGGGAGCAACGGGCGCCACGUGUGGCGCCACUGAGAGUACCCGGAGAAAAAGCAUCGGCUAACUCCGUGCCAGCAGCCGCGGUAAUACGGGGGAUGCGAGCGUUAUCCGGAUUUAUUGGGUUUAAAGGGUGCGUAGGCGGAGCGUUAAGUCAGUGGUAAAAUUGAGGGGCUCAACCCCGGCCCGCCAUUGAAACUGGGGAUCUUGAGUGGAAGAGAAGGAUGCGGAAUGCGUGGUGUAGCGGUGAAAUGCAUAGAUAUCACGCAGAACCCCGAUUGCGAAGGCAGCAUGCCGGCUUCCGACUGGCGCUGAAGCACGAAAGCGUGGGGAUCGAACAGGAUUAGAUACCCGGGUAGUC
RNAcentral lists this ribosomal RNA (460 nucleotides) under uncultured bacterium. Its description in RNAcentral is "partial 16S ribosomal RNA". It matches the Rfam family "Bacterial small subunit ribosomal RNA", at positions 338 to 795 of the family's 1533-position model. The record is from RNAcentral.